This 77-nucleotide transfer RNA is filed under the name Flavobacteriaceae bacterium. Its description in RNAcentral is "tRNA-Met". It matches the Rfam family "tRNA". From Rfam's summary of the family: Transfer RNA (tRNA) molecules are approximately 80 nucleotides in length. Their secondary structure includes four short double-helical elements and three loops (D, anti-codon, and T loops). The record is from RNAcentral. RNAcentral also lists the same sequence under 4 other names. Lineage: Bacteria; Pseudomonadati; Bacteroidota; Flavobacteriia; Flavobacteriales; Flavobacteriaceae.
GGCGAGGUAGCUCAGCCGGUUAGAGCGUCGGAUUCAUAACCCGGAGGUCGGGAGUUCAAGUCUCCCUCUCGCUACAA